RNAcentral lists this ribosomal RNA (253 nucleotides) under uncultured bacterium. RNAcentral's name for it is "partial 16S ribosomal RNA". It matches the Rfam family "Bacterial small subunit ribosomal RNA", at positions 524 to 776 of the family's 1533-position model. The record is from RNAcentral.
UACGUAGGGUGCAAGCGUUGUCCGGAAUUAUUGGGCGUAAAGAGCUCGUAGGCGGUUUGUCGCGUCUGCUGUGAAAACCCGAGGCUCAACCUCGGGCCUGCAGUGGGUACGGGCAGACUAGAGUGCGGUAGGGGAGAUUGGAAUUCCUGGUGUAGCGGUGGAAUGCGCAGAUAUCAGGAGGAACACCAAUGGCGAAGGCAGAUCGCUGGGCCGGAACUGACGCUGAGGAGCGAAAGCAUGGGGAGCGAACAGG